ACUUCGCAAUACGCGAAAGCUUGACGGGGCUAUCCCGAGUGCCAUCUGCUGAGGAUGGCUUUUACCUAGUAUAGAUAGCUGGGGGAAUAAGGAGAGGGCAAGUCUGGUGUCAGCCGCCGCGGUAAUACCAGCUCUCCGAGUKGUGGGGAUGUUUAUUGGGCCUAAAGCAUCCGUAGCCGGCUGGKCAAGUCCCCUGUUAAAUCCAGCGACUAAUCGUUGGUCUGCGGGGGAUACUGUUCGGCUAGGGGGCGGGAGAGGCCGUCGGUAUUCUUGGGGUAGGGGUGAAAUCCUAUAAUCCCAGGAGGACCACCAGUGGCGAAGGCUGUCGGCUAGAACGCGCCCGACGGUGAGGGAUGAAAGCUGGGGGAGCGAACCGGAUUAGAUACCCGGGUAGUCCCAGCUGUAAACGAUGCAGGCUAGGUGUUAGGGCGGCUACGUGCCGCUCUAGUGCCGCAGGGAAGCUGUUAAGCCUGCCGCCUGGGGAGUACGGCCGCAAGGCUGAAACUUAA
This 509-nucleotide ribosomal RNA is filed under the name uncultured crenarchaeote. RNAcentral describes it as "bacterial SSU rRNA". It matches the Rfam family "Archaeal small subunit ribosomal RNA", at positions 347 to 859 of the family's 1478-position model. The record is from RNAcentral. Lineage: Archaea; Thermoproteati; Thermoproteota.